Molecule: ribosomal RNA, 404 nt
Filed under: Actinomycetes bacterium
Lineage: Bacteria; Bacillati; Actinomycetota; Actinomycetes
Description: Actinobacteria bacterium partial 16S ribosomal RNA
Rfam family: Bacterial small subunit ribosomal RNA
Source: RNAcentral
UGGGGAAUAUUGGACAAUGGGCGCAAGCCUGAUCCAGCCAUGCCGCGUGAGUGAUGAAGGCCCUAGGGUUGUAAAGCUCUUUCACCGUUGAAGAUAAUGACGGUAACCGGAGAAGUAGCCCCGGCUAACUUCGUGCCAGCAGCCGCGGUAAUACGAAGGGGGCUAGCGUUGUUCGGGUUUACUGGGCGUAAAGCGCACGUAGGCGGACUAUUAAGUCAGGGGUGAAAUCCCGGGGCUCAACCCCGGAACUGCCUUUGAUACUGGUAGUCUUGAGUUCGAGAGAGGUGUGUGGAAUUCCGCGUGUAGAGGUGUAAUUCGUGGAUAUUCAGAGGAACACCAGUGGCGAAGGCGGCUCACUGGAUAGAUACUGUCGCUGAGGUGCGAAAGGGUGGAGAGCAAACAGG